AUUGAACGCUGGCGGCAGGCCUAACACAUGCAAGUCGAGCGAGCGGCGGACGGGUGAGUAAUGUAUGGGGAUCUGCCCGAUAGAGGGGGAUAACUACGGGAAACGGUGGCUAAUACCGCAUACUAUCAGAUGACCCCAUAUGGGAUUAGCUUGUAGGUGGGGUAAAGGCUCACCGAGGCGACGAUCCCUAGCUGGUCUGAGAGGAUGAUCAGCCACACUGGGACUGAGACACGGCCCAGACUCCUACGGGAGGCAGCAGUGGGGAAUAUUGCACAAUGGGCGCAAGCCUGAUGCAGCCAUGCCGCGUGUAUGAAGAAGGCCUUAGGUUUGUAAAGUACUUUCAGCGGGGAGGCGUUACCCGCAGAAGAAGCACCGGCUAACUCCGUGCCAGCAGCCGCGGUAAUUC
RNAcentral lists this ribosomal RNA (406 nucleotides) under uncultured bacterium. Its description in RNAcentral is "partial 16S ribosomal RNA". It matches the Rfam family "Bacterial small subunit ribosomal RNA", at positions 30 to 526 of the family's 1533-position model. The record is from RNAcentral.